Pantherophis guttatus is the source of this 7144-nucleotide long non-coding RNA. RefSeq lists it as uncharacterized. NCBI's taxonomy places the organism in Eukaryota, Metazoa, Chordata, Lepidosauria, Squamata, Colubridae. The record is from RefSeq and is a predicted model, not a curated record.
GCUUGCGACCUUUGCUUUUGGGAGGUGUAGUCGCUAGGAAAGAAACGAUGGCCUCUGCUUUAUCUGUGGUGCGCCGCAGUGAUCCGAACGAUCGUGAAGUGGCAAAACGUUUGCAGCUUUUUUUUUUUUAACGGAAUGUUUCUUCGUUGCCAUCUAACGGUCGUUGGGAUUUUUGCAGCCUAACGGAUGGGCAGUAGUCCUGAUUUGCGAAUGAAGCCUGGCAAAUGUUCUUGACCCAGAGCUUAUUUUAGAAUAAAAAGGCCUGGGAUUUGAGCAGACGCGUUUGUCAUGUAUUUGAUCGUGUCGUGCCUCGCUGCUCUUCGAUUUUGGGGAUUUUUGUCUUAACUAGCUUGCACUGGUAGACUUAGCUUAAGGGGUGGGUAACUCACGACGGCAAUUACUGGCUUUUAGAGCCGUUUUACGAAACGUCACGUGGAACUAAUAAACCGAGAAGAUAAGUGGAGAAUGCAUUGCGUGAUGAGAAUUGAGCCCAACCAAUGGAGAAUCGUGGUUGAGAGUUGGAUGUGCUUAAGUGCCCUUGAAUGCCUUGUCCUUGGUGUGCCAAAAUUGUCUUGAUGCUGAAUGAAAACCUCUGGAACCAACUGUCACUUGUUGAACCAAGCAACACAAAGAGGGCUGUAAUGUGGGGAUGUCUUGAAUGUUGUAAAUAAAUAAAUUUAAAAAUUUAAAAACCGUUUAUUUUGGAUAUUUUUUUCAGAUAGGUUUGAAGCACUGCCUUUGAACUGGUGCAUGGCCCAUUCAUGGUCUCAUUGGUUACGCUGCAGUGCAAAAAUAAAAAGCUUGCUUAUAACUGGUGUUGCUCAGCUUAAACCUGAGUGAUUCUUUUAAAGACAAGUUACAAUCCAUCUCAUGCUUAAUGUUAAAAUAUGUAAGUUCCUCAAAUAACUACAGUGACGGUUCAGAGGCUUGAUCAUCUGGGAAGAGUAUUAUGUAGCAGUGCUUCAAUUUUAUCUUGUUCGCUACAAUAUCUGAAGAUAACAUGAAUUAAAUGGGGAAAGAUUGGCUCUUAUUACCUGACAGUCUUUGCAUAAUCCCAUUUUCAAAGAUUAUAAUAAACAACCUAGCAUCAGGCAAAAGUAGUGUGCAAAACCCCACUCAUACAAGCUAUAAUGUACUGCAGCUCAGUGCAAUCUCAUUGGGGUCAUAUUUCAUCAAAAAGCACAUUCCCACCCAACUGAUUGCUUCCUAUUAAACUACCUGCUAUUAGAAGGAUAACUGUCCUUUGCCGUUCAAGAUGUUUCAGGUUUUAAAAGUCUACUCUGGACAUUUGGUAGAAUUGUAGCACACAAACUAACAAAGUGCACAUUAUUCAUGCUAUACAAGCACAAAUAGAAAACUGGACUAAAGAUUAUAUAUGGAGGGUGGACACUGCUAUAUGGGACAUACCUUUGGCAUGCUAGUGGAAUAUCCAAGAAAAGCCAGCAGUUGAGAUAGGGUGCUCCACUGCUUAUUUCCUUCCAUGCUCCUUAGGACACAACUUCAGUGGAAACAAGUGUUAGAAUAAACAAAAAUACAACCCUCUGAUUUAGCCACAACUUUAUGGUAUGGAUAAAUCUUAACCACAACCAAAGAGUUCUUUGCAAAGAACCAUUCAAGAGUGUGUGUAACAUACAACUUGUUAACCAAUCACAUCUUUAAUGCUGAGGAUAGUAAUGAGAUAAGCAACUCAAGCUUAUUAAAAGUGCAACAUGUUGAAUGUGUAACUUGAAAUUAGGUUUUGCCAAUAUUUCAAGGAUGGUGAAUUGAUCUAUUCCUGGAUAAAAUUUUCUUUUGGAGAAGAGUUAAAAGUUCUACAGAGCAGACUCUCAACCUUUUUUUUUAACCUGGAGGAACCCUCAAAAUUUUUACAUCUCUGGGAACCCCUUACACAAAUAUAAUUGUAUCUAGAUCUCUUGCAAGAUCUGGGCAAAACUUUAAUAAUGCUAUCAAAUAAAUUGGUGCUGGUUAAAUUAGUAUGAUGUGAUUGUAAUGCAACCCAGCCUAGGUUCUUGUGACUGGAAACUGGAUUUGACUUAGGUUUGUGGUGUUAAACCAUGGCCUCUGGUUUAAUGUGAUAAGCAGAUAGUCUCUCCCAUGUAGUUCCUAGUAUCUGGUUAUUUAGGGAAAAGGCCUGAACCCUUUGUUGUGUGUCUGGUCUCUGACACAACCUUAUUUUACAUCCUGUUGAGAUGAUGACUGUAAAGGAACAUAGGUGCAUCUCUUGAGGCAGCUGACCAAGAGAUACAAAUAAGUUCUAUUUAUUGAGCAGCAAUUUUGCAGAAAUUUCCUGAAACAUUUGAUCAAUAGUUUGCACAGCUGUAAUAUCGAACUAUAUUUUAGGUCAGAGUGAUGCAUUAAUACAGAGAAAAAAAAACGUAAGGGCUGUUGGAUAGAUUACAAGUCUUCCUAUCUGGGAAGCUAAUCCUGUUAUUUAGAAAAUAAGACUUGUGAGUGAAAAUGGACUGCAUCUCCUAAACCUUGCUUUACAAAUGGAAAAGGAAAAUUUACAAUACUGUACCAAAAAAACCAAAAUCUCCCCAGGCCUUCUAUUUGGAGCAAGAUUCAGGAGGCAUCCUGUAGGAAUGUAAAUUAAAUCCUGAAGAAUUGUAUAUUAUUUAAAUUCUAGAGUUUUUUAUGCUCUGGUUCAAUCCCCAAAGAAUCUUGGGUACUCUUGGCUUAGAGGACUGGCAGGCUCCAAGUGCCAUGAGGCAUGAUCUAUUUUGCCUGACUGCUCCCACAGAAAAUAAAUCUUUCAUGAGUACUGGAUAUAAGAGCUGAAACAUUCAGAAGAAAUGUAGAAUACGAUUUGGUAAAUUUUUCAGUAUUUCAGUCUCAUUGAACUCUACGAGUGCUAUAUUCCUGGAUAUGCACUCACACUUCUACCCCACCAAGCAUCAAACAGAUUUUUGACAUGGGAUAAAUUUAUUUGAAAAAAAGCAAGCCCACUAGUAACCCAUACAGUCUGAUUACGAAGUGCAGUGAAUUUACUUGUGCCAAACCUGGUUAAACUUGAUUACAUAUUUGUGCAUCUAGUAUUUUGACUUAUUGCACAGAGGGGGGAAAAGAGCUGUGAAUAAGACAUGCAGAUUUAAGAAGGCAAAUGCUUUCAUUAAGAGAUGAGAAGAAUAGUACAUAAAAUGGAAUGGUCCCAGAGUUGAGGUAACAAAAUAGUUGUCCAAAUAAUAUGAUUAUGUCAAUAUAUUAAAUGCUAAAUUUUAAAUAUGUUUCAGGCAAGGUGCUUUUAAAAAACAACUUCAAUUAGCUUCAUUUGGAGAUUGCAAAUCAUGAGAAAUUUGGACGCAGGAACCUAACACAACAUACAAAAAAGAUCUUAGAAAUAUGUAAAGCCUAGUACACUAUCAAAGAGUGAACUCCAUAGCUCACUUGCUUCCUUUGUAAACUAAAUUAACAUUCUUUCAACAUAAGUAGUUGGCAAUACUGAGUAUCAAGAAACACUCAUUGCUUAUGUAGUGUUCAAAAGAGUUAGAUUCAGUAUUCUGUGUUUAGUCCAUACAGAAAAGGAACAGCAAGGCAGUGUUCUCUUGGCCAUUCUCACUUGUAGUGCUUUGGAGUUGUUACUUUCAUACAGGAAUACCAAGCCAGCCUACAAGGUGCUUUAGCUACGUUGACCAAAAAAAAAAAAAAAAGCUGUAAUCAGGAUUUGCACCUCCUUAAAUGGAUAAAAGAGGAUCCACUACAUAGUUGGGAACAAAAACAGCUGUGAACAUUCUGGUUGAUGAAAGUGAAUGGCUCCUUCCAUGCAAUCAUUUCUGAUGAGUACAUGCAUGGCCUUGGACAUUUCCAUGUAUAGUCAACUCCGAGAGCCAUCAACCACAAGUUCUGCAAUUGUAACGCACUAACUAGAAGGCUUACUGUAGUUUGGUCUCAUGGCUUUGUCUUAAUUUUUUUUUCUAAAGAAUCACAAGAUCCCUUAAAACCAAUUCUGUAUGUUUGCAUGUUUUAUAUGGCUACUUGUUUCCAAGAAACUCAAUUUCAUAUGAAAAAAAUAAGUUGCUAUGCAUAAUCUACAUGGAUUGACAAUAUCACCUAUACAUCCAAUGUACAUUCUUAGCUCCAGAAACCACUUCAAAUUUGCUUGACACAAGCUAUUGGGACUGCAGGAGUGAAGAACAUGCCACUUCCAUUUGUAUUUCCAGCUGCUUGAGAGGAGAAAGUCUUCCAGUUAGACAUCUUUGUGCCUUACUGAAAACAAGUUCCAUAUGACUGGAUGAGAUAAACUGUCAGUGUUCAGUGUGUAUCCUGAAUUACUGCACAUCCAUAAAGUACUCCCAUGUGGAUCAAAUCUGUUGGAUCAAUUGCUGCUAGUUGGAUUUUUUCCCCUAGUUUACUGCAGAAGAGUGCAUAUUAACAACUAGGUUUUAAAGCCUAGCAGAAAUGGAACUAAUGCUCUAAAGUCAAUAGAGAGCCAUAACUGGAGCAAUUAUUGGCAGAAGCGAUCUUAUCUUUAAAAAAAUAAAACAUGGCACAAGGACAAAAAUCAGCUAGACUGUUUCAUUUGAAAGAGAACAUGAAAACGACAUCUGUUAAUACUGUAAACUGCAGUCUUUACGUUUCAUGGCUGUUCCAAUUCGGUAUCUUCAGUAACUUUUGAAGUGCACAUAGAUGAGCGGGGGUCCAUGAUUGAGUGCAUUAGAGGAAUAUAAAGAUCGUCCAUGUUUGGCAUGACAAAAAUUUUCUGCAAGGUAUAAUAAUUGAGUUAGAAUGCAAUUCAAAAUUCAAAGUCGAAAAAUUAAAUAUAUCAAACUCUUAUAUUGGACUCUCCCAUCAGGCCAAGUAGAAUUCUAAACAGAAUUUAUUUGAAUCGAGUAACAUCGUGGAUCACUAGUAAACAUCUAUCUACCUUAAGAUUAGAUUUGGAAAAGAGUCAUCAUGGAAAUUAAAGCAACAUUGCUUUUUACAGUUUACAAAAUCUUAAUUCCAUUACAUUUCAGCAAACAUUUUUUUUAAACACUUGACUCCUAUCAGCUAUUGCUCCUUGCCCCCAUCAUUCCAAUUUUUUUAAAGGAAAUAGCUAGAAAUUUGAAUAGAUAUAUUUAACAGUUCAAUAAAUUCAUGAUGAACAAAAUUCUAGAAAUAUAAACAAUAGAAAAGUAUGAGCAACAAUUUAUUCAAACUAUUUGUCCCAUGCUAAAAUCAGUCUUUCUUCAUGAGAUUAUCCAUAAUAAUAUUCCUUCUAAUUAUUUGGUAUCUCUUAAAGGAAAUUAAAAUCAGGCACUAUGCUCCUACUUUUAAAAAUAUGGGCACAGAAGGUAUUUUAGUGUGGAUAUGGCACACUUCAGGUCCUAAGACAGUAUUUCAGGAUAACAGUGAUCUCACUUGGUGCCUCAUUUCAGAUAGUCCUCCACCAGGAACUGUUUGUUUAGUGACUGUUUAAAGUUAUGGAACUGAAAAAAGUGACUUAUGACCAUUUUUCACACAACCCUUGCAGCAUCCCCAUAGUCACGUGAUCAAAAUUUGGAGGCUUGACAAGUGGUAUAUAUUUAUGAUGGUUAUGGUGUCCAGUGGUCAUGUGGUCAUCUUUUGUGAUCUUCUGACAAGCAAAGUCAAUGGGGAAGCCAAAUUCACUUUUUUUUUUUUUAUUUGAUUUAUAUGCCACUCUUCUCCGGAGACUCAGGGCGGCUUACAAUGUGCUCAGCAAUAGCCUUCAUCCUUUUUGUAUAUUUAUACAAAGUCAGCUUAUUGCCCCCACAACUGGGUCCUCAAUUUACCUACUUUAGAAAGGAUGGAAGGCUGAGUCAACCUUGAGCCUGGCGAGAUUCGAACCUGCAGUAAUUGCAGGCAGCUGGUCUUAAUAACAGGGUGCUUUAGACCACUGUACUACCAAGGCUCUUAAAAACCUUGUUACUAAUUUAACAAUUGCAAUGAUUCACUUAACCACAGUGGCACGAAAGGUUGUAAAAUGGAGCAAAACUCACUUAAUUGUCUUGCCUAGCAACAAAAAUUUGGGGUUUGAUUGUGAUUGUAAAUCGAGGACUACCUGUACAUCUUUUGCUGGGAUCAUGCAGUGUCUGUUAAGCCCAGAAGGAGUACAGUGUGUCCCAACACCUAUUCUUAAGUAAUUUUAUGGCUACUGCAGUAUGUUCCUAUAUGUGUUAUCAAACUAAGAAUCUGAAAUUCUCAGAAGCAAUGAUUUGUGUUAUACCAAUAUGUAGCCAUUCAGCGUGACUGUGUGCUUUUUCAUCUGAGAUACAUGCCACCAUCUUUAAGCUUACAGAGUCUUAGCUAAUGUCUUACUUAUUCUUUUAAUGCUAAUGAUAUUUGAAGUACCUGAAAUUCUUGUUCUAGUUUCUUCUCUAUCCACUCAGUUACAUGAACCAAAGUAACUUCUCUUUCACCAAGCUUUGGCCGAGCUUUUAGCUCCAGAUAAGGGGGUCUUCGGAAACCGUACCUGAAGAUUAAAAAAAUGAUCCAAGUUAAGAUGUUUCUAUCUCAGAUUUGUAUCCCAUAUUUUCUCAAAGGCCUCCAGGAGAAUAUAACCCAUGCUCAGCUAAAAUGAGACAUGCUUAACCAAAGCCGUCCUGGGAUAUUCUGGACAAACAGAAAUUUUAACCUAAGCAUGGUGUCCACACCAUGCUUCCCAACCCUAAUCUUGCUGGCUGUGGAUUCUGGGACUUGUGUUCCCAAACAUCUGAAGCACUCUAAAUCAGGGAAGGCUAUACUACCUCAUAUAACCUAAUCUUGUGCAUUUGCGGUUUAUGUUCAAGGAUUUUGUGCUUGGAGGAGGAUUGGAUGCUGUAAACCAGGCCUGCACAAGGCACAGAGGGAAAAAGGUCACUGAUAAAUUAAAAAUAACUGUGGGCUGCAAAGGAAUAUUUGGCAUACCAAUCAGCUAUUUGGCAGCAAGUAGAGUGCCAGUGGGACUGAAGCUGGCAGCAAUGGGGUCAGUGAUCAUGUCCAUUUCAAGACCAUUGAGCCAACGCUGUCCGAAGACAUUACUGUGGUCAUGUGGCCAGAAUGCUGUCACGGAGCCCUGUUACCUUCCCACCAAAGUGACAGACAGAGAAGAUACCUUUGAUGGAAUGACUAAGCAUGGAAGAAAGAUGCACCACUGUUGAUAAUGCACACAACAGGCAGAGAUAAACUGAACCAACGGCUGCCUAAAGGCAAAAAGACUCACCCUUCU